CCGUAGGUGAACGUGCGGAGGGAUCAUUA
Molecule: ribosomal RNA, 29 nt
Filed under: Teratosphaeria nubilosa
Lineage: Eukaryota; Fungi; Ascomycota; Dothideomycetes; Mycosphaerellales; Teratosphaeriaceae
Description: partial 18S ribosomal RNA
Source: RNAcentral